UCCAGUAAAGAGCGACAUAAGGAAACACAUCAGAACAUGUUGAAAAUCAAAGAAAGCUUCGAAAUAACUUUAACAAAAAUCGAAAUCGGAAAAGAUAAAGGGGUUUCAAAGGUAAAGUUUAAAAGAAACCUUGAGAAAAAUGUUUAGGAGUUUAGAGCAAACACAGAUCUAAAACAAACCUAAAAGAUCAGAAGAACCUUAAAGGUUAGGGUUUCAGAAGAACCCUAGAUGAUGAGAAAGGCUUGGAAAAUCAUCGACCUAAGCAGGAGAAGUCAAGAAUCAGGCUUGAAUAGCAUGGCUGGCAGGAGCAAAGUCAAAGAUGACCGGAGACAGUCUUAUAACUAAAAUAAACCAAGGUUUGGACCCAAAUUUUCCAGGAUCUAGCAUUGAAACCAUGAUAAUCGGGCACAUAGAAGCCAAGUAAGGUAGAUACAGGCAUCCAAUGGCUUUGGAAGCCAUUGAUUUGGGUGGUUUUAUGGUGGUAGUUGAGGGUGGAGGCUAGGGUUUGAGAGGGGGUUGAGAAAGAAUUGAGAGAGAAAGGGAUUCAGAGGCAG
RNAcentral lists this long non-coding RNA (554 nucleotides) under Nicotiana benthamiana. RNAcentral's name for it is "long non-coding RNA (NBEN_LNC021959)". Lineage: Eukaryota; Viridiplantae; Streptophyta; Magnoliopsida; Solanales; Solanaceae. The record is from RNAcentral.